Molecule: ribosomal RNA, 396 nt
Filed under: Triticum aestivum (bread wheat)
Lineage: Eukaryota; Viridiplantae; Streptophyta; Magnoliopsida; Poales; Poaceae
Description: partial small subunit ribosomal RNA
Source: RNAcentral
AUGAAUUGCAUAAGUUGGAACCGUCGAGGGCUUGGGAACCCUGAGACAGUUCGCGAGCUUCGCAAAAUUGUGAAGCAAGAAGGUCCCGCCCUUCUCUUUGUUAUGGAAACAAAGAUUAAGGGUAAACGGGUGGAGAACCUGAAAUCCGUUCUAGGGUUUCAAAGUUGUUUUGCGGUGGAUAGCACUGGUUUAAGUGGUGGCAUUGGCUUGUUUUGGACAGAUGAAGUGCAUGUUGAACUCAAAAACUACAGCCGAGCGCACAUAGAUGUAAAAAUCAGGAGGAAAGAUGACCAAAACUCUUGGCGUUUUACAGGUUUUUACGGAGAACCCCGGACAGAGAACAGACACCACAGUUGGGCGUUCUUGCGUACUUUGCAUGGCAUUCAGCAUGAAUGA